RNAcentral lists this ribosomal RNA (253 nucleotides) under uncultured bacterium. RNAcentral describes it as "partial 16S ribosomal RNA". It matches the Rfam family "Bacterial small subunit ribosomal RNA", at positions 524 to 776 of the family's 1533-position model. The record is from RNAcentral.
UACGAAGGGGGCUAGCGUUGUUCGGAUUUACUGGGCGUAAAGCGCACGUAGGCGGAUCUUUAAGUCAGAGGGGAAAUCCCAAGGCUCAACCUUGGAACUGCCUUUGAUACUGGGGAUCUUGAGUCCGGGAGAGGUGAGUGGAACUGCGAGUGUAGAGGUGAAAUUCGUAGAUAUUCGCAAGAACACCAGUGGCGAAGGCGGCUCACUGGCCCGGUACUGACGCUGAGACGCGAAAGCGUGGGGAGCAAACAGG